This 27-nucleotide non-coding RNA is filed under the name Mus musculus (house mouse). Lineage: Eukaryota; Metazoa; Chordata; Mammalia; Rodentia; Muridae. The record is from RNAcentral.
UAAAAAAAACUUGUGCUUCAAAGAUUC